This is a non-coding RNA of Pangasius djambal, 72 nucleotides long. The record is from the annotation of a GenBank genome assembly. NCBI's taxonomy places the organism in Eukaryota, Metazoa, Chordata, Actinopteri, Siluriformes, Pangasiidae.
UCCCUGGAGGACUAGUGGUUAGGCCACAGCACUCUCGCCACCACGGCCUUUGUUUGAUUCCCAGCCAGGGAA